Molecule: ribosomal RNA, 484 nt
Filed under: uncultured bacterium
Lineage: Bacteria
Description: partial 16S ribosomal RNA
Rfam family: Bacterial small subunit ribosomal RNA
Source: RNAcentral
AUUGAACGCUGGCGGCAGGCCUAACACAUGCAAGUCGAGCGGAUGAAGGGAGCUUGCUCCUGGAUUCAGCGGCGGACGGGUGAGUAAUGCCUAGGAAUCUGCCUGGUAGUGGGGGAUAACGUCCGGAAACGGGCGCUAAUACCGCAUACGUCCUGAGGGAGAAAGUGGGGGAUCUUCGGACCUCACGCUAUCAGAUGAGCCUAGGUCGGAUUAGCCAGUUGGUGGGGUAAAGGCCUACCAAGGCGACGAUCCGUAACUGGUCUGAGAGGAUGAUCAGUCACACUGGAACUGAGACACGGUCCAGACUCCUAAGGGAGGCAGCAGUGGGGAAUAUUGGACAAUGGGCGAAAGCCUGAUCCAGCCAUGCCGCGUGUGUGAAGAAGGUCUUCGGAUUGUAAAGCACUUUAAGUUGGGAGGAAGGGCAGUAAGUUAAUACCUUGCUGUUUUGACGUUACCAACAGAAUAAGCACCGGCUAACUUCGUG